AUUGAACGCUGGCGGCAGGCCUAACACAUGCAAGUCGAGCGGAUGAAGGGAGCUUGCUCCUGGAUUCAGCGGCGGACGGGUGAGUAAUGCCUAGGAAUCUGCCUGUUAAUGGGGGAUAACGUCCGGAAACGGGCGCUAAUACCGCAUACGUGCUGAGGGAGAAAGGGGGAGAGCUUCGGACCUCACGCUAUCAGAUGAGCCUAGGUCGGAUUAGCUAGUUGGUGGGGUAAAGGCCUACCAAGGCGACGAUCCGUAACUGGUCUGAGAGGAUGAUCAGUCACACUGGAACUGAGACACGGUCCAGACUCCUACGGGAGGCAGCAGUGGGGAAUAUUGGACAAUGGGCGCAAGCCUGAUCCAGCCAUGCCGCGUGUGUGAAGAAGGUCUUCGGAUUGUAAAGCACUUUAAGUUGGGAGGAAGGGCAGUAAGUUAAUACCUUGCUGUUUUGACGUUACCAACAGAAUAAGCACCGGCUAACUUCGUG
RNAcentral lists this ribosomal RNA (484 nucleotides) under uncultured bacterium. RNAcentral's name for it is "partial 16S ribosomal RNA". It matches the Rfam family "Bacterial small subunit ribosomal RNA", at positions 30 to 507 of the family's 1533-position model. The record is from RNAcentral.